Molecule: ribosomal RNA, 695 nt
Filed under: uncultured Streptococcaceae bacterium
Lineage: Bacteria; Bacillati; Bacillota; Bacilli; Lactobacillales; Streptococcaceae
Description: bacterial SSU rRNA
Rfam family: Bacterial small subunit ribosomal RNA
Source: RNAcentral
AGUAGAACGCUGAAGAGAGGAGCUUGCUCUUCUUGGAUGAGUUGCGAACGGGUGAGUAACGCGUAGGUAACCUGCCUGGUAGCGGGGGAUAACUAUUGGAAACGAUAGCUAAUACCGCAUAAAAUUGAUUAUUGCAUGAUAAUUAAUUGAAAGAUGCAAUUGCAUCACUACCAGAUGGACCUGCGUUGUAUUAGCUAGUUGGUGAGGUAACGGCUCACCAAGGCGACGAUACAUAGCCGACCUGAGAGGGUGAUCGGCCACACUGGGACUGAGACACGGCCCAGACUCCUACGGGAGGCAGCAGUAGGGAAUCUUCGGCAAUGGGGGGAACCCUGACCGAGCAACGCCGCGUGAGUGAAGAAGGUUUUCGGAUCGUAAAGCUCUGUUGUAAGAGAAGAACGGGUGUGAGAGUGGAAAGUUCACACUGUGACGGUAUCUUACCAGAAAGGGACGGCUAACUACGUGCCAGCAGCCGAGGUAAUACGUAGGUCCCGAGCGUUGUCCGGAUUUAUUGGGCGUAAAGCGAGCGCAGGCGGUUAGAUAAGUCUGAAGUUAAAGGCUGUGGCUUAACCAUAGUAUGCUUUGGAAACUGUUUAACUUGAGUGCAGAAGGGGNAGUGGAUUCCAUGUGUAGCGGUGAAAUGCGUAGAUAUAUGGAGGAACACCGGUGGCGAAAGCGGCUCUCUGGUCUGUAAC